This 781-nucleotide ribosomal RNA is filed under the name uncultured Neocallimastigales. Its description in RNAcentral is "partial large subunit ribosomal RNA". It matches the Rfam family "Eukaryotic large subunit ribosomal RNA", at positions 23 to 647 of the family's 3401-position model. The record is from RNAcentral. Lineage: Eukaryota; Fungi; Neocallimastigomycota; Neocallimastigomycetes; Neocallimastigales.
AUAGAGACUCAGAGCUGCAUAUCAAUAAGCGGAGGAAAAGAAACUAACAAGGAUUCCCCUAGUAACGGCGAGUGAAGCGGGAAGAGCUCAAAUUUGAAAUCUUAAAGGGUUUCCCUUGACGAAUUGUAGUUUAAAGAAGUGUUUUCUGUUAGAGAGGUUCGGUAAAAGUUCUUUGGAAUAGGACAUCAUAGAGGGUGAGAAUCCCGUAUUUGAUCCAUUAUUUCCUAAGCUUUGUGAUACACUUUCAAAGAGUCGGAUUGUUUGGGAAUGCAGUCCAAAAUGGGUGGUAAAUUUCAUCUAAAGCUAAAUAUUGGCGAGAGACCGAUAGCGAACAAGUACCGUGAGGGAAAGAUGAAAAGAACUUUGAGAAGAGAGUUAAACAGUACGUGAAAUUGUCAAAAGGGAAGCGUUUGACACCAGUGUUGUUUUUCCGAAAAUCAAUUACGAAUGUUUUAGUUUUUAAGAAGUUAUGACUUCAUCGGCUUGCUUCUCUCUUUAUGAAACUUUCUUAAUGCACUUUUCGGUUAACAAGUCAACAUCAAUUUCUUUUGUUGUAAAAGGGUAUGAGGAAGGUGGCUUUCUUUUCGGAGAAAGUGUUUAUAGCCUUGUACCUCUGCAAUCGGAGAGAUUGAGGUCUGCAGCGUAGAUCCUUCGGGGUUAGAUACAUUUGUGCUAAGUUAUAGCUUGCUCAUAGACAACUUGUUGACUAUGUUAAGUCUUGUAGCUUACUCGCUUAUGCUAUUUUACCUACGCUUAGGAUGUUGACGAGACUGUCGAUCUC